Ipomoea nil (Japanese morning glory) is the source of this 519-nucleotide long non-coding RNA. RefSeq lists it as uncharacterized. The record is from RefSeq and is a predicted model, not a curated record. The transcript is spliced from 2 exons. NCBI's taxonomy places the organism in Eukaryota, Viridiplantae, Streptophyta, Magnoliopsida, Solanales, Convolvulaceae.
CGGAAGGCCUUGCCAAUGACGUGGCUCUCUAAAUAGGAGGUCAUAGAUUUGAUCCUAUUGGGUAAACCCAGGGAAUGACAAAAGUAGCUACAGUACAUUAUACACACUACGUAAAUGAGGUAAACCAUGAUGGUCAUCUUCGGGAACGCCCACUAAUUCGUCUGGUGGUCUCGUAAAAAUGUUCAUGCCCUUAGGGAGGUGUCUAGCCAGUUUUGCAAGGAAGUCUGCAACACAGUUUUGUUCUAGGGUGGCUACAACUACUUGCCAUACUUCGAAAGUACGGAGUUCUUUCUUGCAUGCCUGGAGGAUGUUGUGAACCACAGACAUUGAGGGUGUAUUAUUAUUUAUAUAACUGGCUAUCUCACUAGCAUCUGUCUCAAUAUAAGAUUAUUAUAUUGUUACUAAAAAGUAUUAACAUAUUUGAGAUCGGAUCAGUCUCACAUUAGACCGUCUCAUACAAGUUUUUGAGUUUGCUAUAAUAUUUAUUCAUGUAGUUUUGAUCACAUCAUGAGGCUUUGG